GUCGAGGAUCUUUGGCAAUGGGCGAAAGCCUGACCAUGCGACGCCGCGUGCGGGAUGAAGGCUUUCGGGUCGUAAACCGCUGUUACGAGGGAAGAAAGCCCUUUCGGCUAACACCUGAGAGGGUUUGACGGUACCUCGGAAGAAAGCCACGGCUAACUCCGUGCCAGCAGCCGCGGUAAUACGGAGGUGGCAAGCGUUGCUCGGAUUCACUGGGUGUAAAGGGCGUGUAGGCGGCUUUGUAAGCCCUGUCUUAAAGGCACCGGCUCAACCGAUGUUUUCGACAGGGGACUGCAGAGCUUGAGGAUGGAAGAGGUGAGCGGAACUCCCGGUGUAAGGGUGAAAUCUGUAGAUAUCGGGAAGAACACCAGUGGCGAAGGCGGCUCACUAGGCCAUUUCUGACGCUGAGAUGCGAAAGCUAGGGGAGCAAACAGGAUUAGAUACCCCGGUAGUCC
RNAcentral lists this ribosomal RNA (452 nucleotides) under uncultured bacterium. RNAcentral describes it as "bacterial SSU rRNA". It matches the Rfam family "Bacterial small subunit ribosomal RNA", at positions 354 to 796 of the family's 1533-position model. The record is from RNAcentral.